AUUGAACGCUGGCGGCAGGCUUAACACAUGCAAGUCGAGCGAGCGGCGGACGGGUGAGUAAUGUCUGGGAAACUGCCUGAUGGAGGGGGAUAACUACUGGAAACGGUAGCUAAUACCGCAUACUAUCCGAUGAGCCCAUAUGGGAUUAGCUAGUAGGUGGGGUAAUGGCUCACCUAGGCGACGAUCCCUAGCUGGUCUGAGAGGAUGACCAGCCACACGGGAACUGGGAAACGGCCCAGCCUCCUACGGGAGGCAGAAGUGGGGAAUAUUGCACAAUGGGCGCAAGCCUGAUGCAGCCAUGCCGCGUGUGUGAAGAAGGCCUUCGGGUUGUAAAGCACGUUCAGCGGGGAGGCGUUACUCGCAGAAGAAGCACCGGCUAACUCCGUGCCAGCAGCCGCGGUAAUAC
Molecule: ribosomal RNA, 406 nt
Filed under: uncultured bacterium
Lineage: Bacteria
Description: partial 16S ribosomal RNA
Rfam family: Bacterial small subunit ribosomal RNA
Source: RNAcentral